RNAcentral lists this ribosomal RNA (317 nucleotides) under uncultured soil bacterium. Its description in RNAcentral is "bacterial SSU rRNA". It matches the Rfam family "Bacterial small subunit ribosomal RNA", at positions 26 to 376 of the family's 1533-position model. The record is from RNAcentral.
AGAACGAACGCUGGCGGCAGGCUUAACACAUGCAAGUCGAACGCCCCGCAAGGGGAGUGGCAGACGGGUGAGUAACGCGUGGGAAUCUACCUAGCUCUUCGGAACAACUGAGGGAAACUUCAGCUAAUACCGAGUACGCCCUACGGGGGAAGGAUUUAUCGGAGUUAGAUGAGCCCGCGUUGGAUUAGCUAGUUGGUGGGUAAUGGCCUACCAAGGCACGAUCCAUAGCUGGUCUGAGAGGAUGAUCAGCCACACUGGGACUGAGACACGGCCCAGACUCCUACGGGAGGCAGCAGUGGGAAUAUUGGACAAGUGGG